Alosa sapidissima (American shad) is the source of this 852-nucleotide long non-coding RNA. RefSeq lists it as uncharacterized. The transcript has 3 exons. Lineage: Eukaryota; Metazoa; Chordata; Actinopteri; Clupeiformes; Clupeidae. The record is from RefSeq and is a predicted model, not a curated record.
UCAGGCCUUUCACACUGUCAGUUCUUGCAGUUCAUUACCGAGUAAAAAAAACAAACAGCUGGCAACGUUAAAAACAGCUGUUCAGGUGGGCUCAUAGAAUUGGAACUGUAUAUGAAAUGUUGCGCUGAGCUUACCAAAAUGGCGCCCUGUUGGGCUCAGAGCGUACUUCAUGCCUAUGACGUAACUGAUCUAUCUUGCUUUGUUCUAGAAUCUUUGGUUUAGGAGUUGGCAUUUUUCCUUACUAAAAGUAGGUCUGAAAGGCUUUUUUUUUCUUUCUAACUUUUAAGAGAAAACUUCUAGCUAAAACCUUUUAGUGCGAUUUAGGAGUACUCCUAGUGGUAAGAUAAAAGGCUUUGUGAAUACGGCCCCGGAACAACAUUGCAUGGCUGAGAAGACAGAUGGCUGACGAGAUGAUUCUUGCAUCUGAGUCCAAGGAGGAUUUAUGCUCCCACUGUGGACUGGAAGUUCCUCUGUCGCUAAAUUCAUUCAAGCAAUAUUAUUUGGAUCCAAUGUGAAAAGUGCCAGAGAUGGUUUCACACAUCUUGUCUUGGACUAACACCCGACUGUGUGCCAGAUGAAGACAGCACUUGGUGUUGUGAAAUUUGUUGCAUUUGAGCUGUAAAUACUGUAAAUAGUUUGAAGUUUUUGUUUCAUUUAUUUCAAUUUAGCAUUUGUAGCUUGGUAAUGUGGAUGAGAGAAGCUGGUUGCCCACUCUUUAUUUUCAAUUUCACAUGUGAGAUGUCACUUCCCCACCAUUUCUGAUGUAAUCAAAUUCUAUGUUUUUUAUUUUUUAAUACAGAAUGAAAAAUGCUUUUGGAUUGAAAUUUGUUUUCUUUAAAGUAAUUUGCUUUC